AGACCCGAAACCCGGUGAUCUAGCCAUGGGCAGGUUGAAGGUUGGGUAACACUAACUGGAGGACCGAACCGACUAAUGUUGAAAAAUUAGCGGAUGACCUGUGGCUGGGGGUGAAAGGCCAAUCAAACCGGGAGAUAGCUGGUUCUCCCCGAAAGCUAUUUAGGUAGCGCCUCGUGAAUUCAUCUCCGGGGGUAGAGCACUGUUUCGGCUAGGGGGCCAUCCCGGCUUACCAACCCGAUGCAAACUGCGAAUACCGGAGAAUGUUAUCACGGGAGACACACGGCGGGUGCUAACGUCCGUCGUGAAGAGGGAAACAACCCAGACCGCCAGCUAAGGUCCCAAAGUCAUGGUUAAGUGGGAAACGAUGUGGGAAGGCCCAGACAGCCAGGAUGUUGGCUUAGAAGCAGCCAUCAUUUAAAGAAAGCGUAAUAGCUCACUGGUCGAGUCGGCCUGCGCGGAAGAUGUAACGGGGCUAAACCAUGCACCGAAGCUGCGGCAGCGACACUGUGUGUUGUUGGGUAGGGGAGCGUUCUGUAAGCCUGUGAAGGUGUGUCGUGAGGCAUGCUGGAGGUAUCAGAAGUGCGAAUGCUGACAUAAGUAACGAUAAAGCGGGUGAAAAGCCCGCUCGCCGGAAGACCAAGGGUUCCUGUCCAACGUUAAUCGGGGCAGGGUGAGUCGACCCCUAAGGCGAGGCCGAAAGGCGUAGUCGAUGGGAAACGGGUUAAUAUUCCCGUACUUGGUGUUACUGCGAAGGGGGGACGGAGAAGGCUAUGUUGGCCGGGCGACGGUUGUCCCGGUUUAAGCGUGUAGGUGUGUGUUCCAGGUAAAUCCGGUUCACUUUAACACUGAGGCGUGACGACGAGGCACUACGGUGCUGAAGCAACAAAUGCCCUGCUUCCAGGAAAAGCCUCUAAGCAUCAGGUAACAUCAAAUCGUACCCCAAACCGACACAGGUGGUCAGGUAGAGAAUACCAAGGCGCUUGAGAGAACUCGGGUGAAGGAACUAGGCAAAAUGGUGCCGUAACUUCGGGAGAAGGCACGCUGACACGUAGGUGAAGUGAUUUACUCAUGGAGCUGAAGUCAGUCGAAGAUACCAGCUGGCUGCAACUGUUUAUUAAAAACACAGCACUGUGCAAACACGAAAGUGGACGUAUACGGUGUGACGCCUGCCCGGUGCCGGAAGGUUAAUUGAUGGGGUCAGCGCAAGCGAAGCUCCUGAUCGAAGCCCCGGUAAACGGCGGCCGUAACUAUAACGGUCCUAAGGUAGCGAAAUUCCUUGUCGGGUAAGUUCCGACCUGCACGAAUGGCGUAAUGAUGGCCAGGCUGUCUCCACCCGAGACUCAGUGAAAUUGAACUCGCUGUGAAGAUGCAGUGUACCCGCGGCAAGACGGAAAGACCCCGUGAACCUUUACUAUAGCUUGACACUGAACAUUGAGCCUUGAUGUGUAGGAUAGGUGGGAGGCUUUGAAGUGUGGACGCCAGUCUGCAUGGAGCCGACCUUGAAAUACCACCCUUUAAUGUUUGAUGUUCUAACGUGGACCCGUAAUCCGGGUUGCGGACAGUGUCUGGUGGGUAGUUUGACUGGGGCGGUCUCCUCCUAAAGAGUAACGGAGGAGCACGAAGGUUGGCUAAUCCUGGUCGGACAUCAGGAGGUUAGUGCAAUGGCAUAAGCCAGCUUGACUGCGAGCGUGACGGCGCGAGCAGGUGCGAAAGCAGGUCAUAGUGAUCCGGUGGUUCUGAAUGGAAGGGCCAUCGCUCAACGGAUAAAAGGUACUCCGGGGAUAACAGGCUGAUACCGCCCAAGAGUUCAUAUCGACGGCGGUGUUUGGCACCUCGAUGUCGGCUCAUCACAUCCUGGGGCUGAAGUAGGUCCCAAGGGUAUGGCUGUUCGCCAUUUAAAGUGGUACGCGAGCUGGGUUUAGAACGUCGUGAGACAGUUCGGUCCCUAUCUGCCGUGGGCGCUGGAGAACUGAGGGGGGCUGCUCCUAGUACGAGAGGACCGGAGUGGACGCAUCACUGGUGUUCGGGUUGUCAUGCCAAUGGCACUGCCCGGUAGCUAAAUGCGGAAGAGAUAAGUGCUGAAAGCAUCUAAGCACGAAACUUGCCCCGAGAUGAGUUCUCCCUGAGACUUUAAGUCUCCUGAAGGAACGUUGAAGACGACGACGUUGAUAGGCCGGGUGUGUAAGCGCAGCGAUGCGUUGAGCUAACCGGUACUAAUGAACCGUGAGGCUUAACCUUACAAC
Molecule: ribosomal RNA, 2243 nt
Filed under: Salmonella enterica subsp. enterica serovar Virchow
Lineage: Bacteria; Pseudomonadati; Pseudomonadota; Gammaproteobacteria; Enterobacterales; Enterobacteriaceae
Description: partial 23S ribosomal RNA
Rfam family: Bacterial large subunit ribosomal RNA
Source: RNAcentral